UACGUAGGCAGCAAGCGUUGUUCGGAGUUACUGGGCGUAAAGGGUGUGUAGGCGGUUGUUUAAGUUUGGGGUGAAAUCUCCCGGCUCAACUGGGAGGGUGCGCCGAAUACUGAAUGACUCGAGUGCGGGAGAGGAAAGUGGAAUUCCUGGUGUAGCGGUGAAAUGCGUAGAUAUCAGGAGGAACACCGGUGGUGUAGACGGCUUUCUGGACCGUAACUGACGCUGAGACACGAAAGCGUGGGUAGCAAACAGG
This 253-nucleotide ribosomal RNA is filed under the name uncultured bacterium. RNAcentral describes it as "partial 16S ribosomal RNA". It matches the Rfam family "Bacterial small subunit ribosomal RNA", at positions 524 to 776 of the family's 1533-position model. The record is from RNAcentral.